This 1008-nucleotide long non-coding RNA is filed under the name Cyanistes caeruleus (blue tit). RNAcentral describes it as "lncRNA (ENSCCEG00000004521.1)". Lineage: Eukaryota; Metazoa; Chordata; Aves; Passeriformes; Paridae. The record is from RNAcentral.
GGAUCAGCCCCGCCCCAGCUGAUUUUGGUUUCAAUUUUGGUUCCAUUUUGGUUCCGUUUUGGUUCCUUUUUGGUAAAAUUUUGGUUCAGUUUUGGUAAAACUUUGGUCCAAUUUUGGUCCAAUUUUGGUUCCAUUUUGGUUCCAUUUGGGUUUUGGUUCCAUUUUGGUUCCGUUUUGGUUCCAUUUUGGUUCCAUUUUGGUUCCGUUUUGGUUCAGGUUUGGUUCAGUUUUGGUUCCAUUUUGGUUCCAUUUUGGUUCCGUUUUGGUUCCGUUUUGGUUCAGUUCUGGUUCCAUUUUGGUUCCAUUUGGGUUUUGGUUCCGUUUUGGUUCCGUUUUGGUUCAGUUUUGGUUCAGUUUUGGUUCAGUUUUGGUUCCGUUUUGGUUCAGUUUUGGUUCCAUUUUGGUUCCAUUUUGGUUCAGUUUUUGUUCCAUUUUGGUUCCAUUUUGGUUCCAUUUGGGUUUUGGUUCCAUUUUGGUUCCAUUUGGGUUUUGUUCCAUUUUGGUUCCAUUUUGGUUCCGUUUUGGUUCCAUUUUGGUUCAGUUUUGGUUCCAUUUUGGUUCCGUUUUGGUUCCGUUUUGGUUCCAUUUGGGUUUUGGUUCCAUUUUGGUUCAGUUUUGGUUCCAUUUUGGUUCAGUUUUGUUUCUGUUUUGGUUCCAUUUUGGUGCUGUUUUGGCUCAGUUUUGGUUCCAUUUUGGUUCCAUUUUGGUUCCGUUUUGGUUCAGUUUUGGUUCAGUUUUGGUUCUGUUUUGGUUCCAUUUUGGUUCCAUUUUGGUUCCAUUUUGGUUCCGUUUUGGUUCCAUUUUGGUUCCAUUUUGGUUCCAUUUGGGUUUUGGUUCCAUUUUGGUUCCAUUUUGGUUCCGUUUUGGCCCAAUUUUGGUCCAAUUUGGGGACAAUUGGAUCGAUUCUCCCCCGGAAUCCCCGAUCCAACCUCCCCAAACCUCUCCGGUUUCCAUGGAAACCCCCGGCCCUGCCCCGAGCUUUGCCAGCUGGAAGUCGGGCAUCACUAA